RNAcentral lists this ribosomal RNA (325 nucleotides) under uncultured bacterium. RNAcentral describes it as "bacterial SSU rRNA". It matches the Rfam family "Bacterial small subunit ribosomal RNA", at positions 1041 to 1372 of the family's 1533-position model. The record is from RNAcentral.
CUGCAUGGCUGUCGUCAGCUCGUGUCGUGAGAUGUUGGGUUAAGUCCCGCAACGAGCGCAACCCUUGUCUCUAGUUGCUACGAAAGGGCACUCUAGAGAGACUGCCGGUGACAAACCGGAGGAAGGUGGGGAUGACGUCAAGUCCUCAUGGCCCUUAUGGGUAGGGCUUCGCACGUCAUACAAUGGUGCAUACAGAGGGUUGCCAAGCCGCGAGGUGGAGCUAAUCCCAGAAAAUGCAUCGUAGUCCGGAUCGUAGUCUGCAACUCGACUACGUGAAGCUGGAAUCGCUAGUAAUCGCGGAUCAGCAUGCCGCGGUGAAUACGUU